UACGUAGGUGGCUAGCGUUGUCCGGAUUUACUGGGCGUAAAGAGCGCGCAGGCGGUCGUUCAAGUCGAGUGUGAAAGCCCCCGGCUCAACUGGGGAGGGUCACUCGAUACUGAUCGACUUGAAGGCGGGAGAGGAAAGCGGAAUUCCGGGUGUAGCGGUGAAAUGCGUAGAUAUCCGGAGGAACACCAGUGGCGAAGGCGGCUUUCUGGACCGACACUGACGCUGAGGCGCGAAAGCUAGGGGAGCAAACGGG
Molecule: ribosomal RNA, 253 nt
Filed under: uncultured bacterium
Lineage: Bacteria
Description: partial 16S ribosomal RNA
Rfam family: Bacterial small subunit ribosomal RNA
Source: RNAcentral